UUGGUUCUUCCUUCUUUAUUUCCUUCUUCAUAAACUUAUAAAACUUUUCAAUUUAAUCGUUGGAAAUAGUAUCAUCAUCGCUUUCCGAAUCACUUACUUCUACUCUUUUAGAAGAUGAGGCUUUGAAGGCAAUAUCUGGACUUUUCUCAUCUCCAAAUGAAGGUUUAAAAAUUGUGCUUUCAUAAGUUUUGAGAUUACCUCUUAGUCCAUCAAUUGUGACGUCCGUGAUUCCUAUCGACUCU
RNAcentral lists this long non-coding RNA (242 nucleotides) under Nicotiana benthamiana. RNAcentral describes it as "long non-coding RNA (NBEN_LNC018670)". Lineage: Eukaryota; Viridiplantae; Streptophyta; Magnoliopsida; Solanales; Solanaceae. The record is from RNAcentral.